This 873-nucleotide ribosomal RNA is filed under the name marine metagenome. Its description in RNAcentral is "bacterial SSU rRNA". It matches the Rfam family "Bacterial small subunit ribosomal RNA", at positions 8 to 896 of the family's 1533-position model. The record is from RNAcentral.
AGAGUUUGAUCCUGGCUCAGGACGAACGCUGGCGGCGCGCCUAAUGCAUGCAAGUCGAACGAAUGAACCAACUUCGGUUGGCAAGUUAGUGGCAGACGGCUGAGUAACGCGUAAAUAACCUACCCAUUGGCGGGGGACAACCCGAAGAAAUUCGAGCUAAUACCGCAUGUGGUUCAUUCCUGCAGGGGGAUGAACGAAAGACUUCGGUCACCAGUGGACGGAUUUGCGUUCCAUCAGGUAGUUGGUGAGGUAACGGCCCACCAAGCCUACGACGGGUAGCCGGUGUGAGAGCACGACCGGCCAGAGGGGGACUGCGACACGGCCCCCACUCCUACGGGAGGCAGCAGCAGGGAAUCUUGCGCAAUGGGCGAAAGCCUGACGCAGCGACACCGCGUGGAGGAUGAAGGUCCUAGGAUUGUAAACUCCUUUUAUCAGGGAAGAGAACGGACGGUACCUGAUGAAUAAGGUUCGGCUAACUACGUGCCAGCAGCCGCGGUAAUACGUAGGAACCGAGCGUUGUCCGAAUUUACUGGGCGUAAAGAGCGCGUAGGUUGUUAGUUAAGUCUCAUGUGUAAUCUCCCGGCUCAACUGGGAGGGGUCAUGAGAUACUGGCAGACUAGAGGAUAGCAGAGGAAAGCGGAAUUCAGGGAGUAGUGGUGAAAUGCGUAGAUACCCUGAGGAACACCAGAGGCGAAGGCGGCUUUCUGGGCUAUUUCUGACACUGAGGCGCGAAAGCGUGGGGAGCAAACAGGAUUAGAUACCCUGGUAGUCCACGCCCUAAACGAUGGAUACUAGAUAUUGGGGGUAUAGACCCCUCCAGUGUCGAAGCUAACGCGAUAAGUAUCCCGCCUGGGGAGUACGGCCGCAAGGCUA